UUGAGCGCCUUCAUCAUUUUUUUCAGUUAGUACCCCCAAUUUCCUGCAAUGCUUAAAGGCCUAUGUUUAUGUUUUUCCAAAAAUUAAAAAUGUCCAAGGUCAACUACAAGAGUGAACGGGGUUAUUUGGUUGGUCCCUGGUUGCAGGUGAGAGAAUUAUAUAGUUUGUGGGUUGAAUUAACAGAACCUGUGUUUUCUUUUCUUUUGUUUUCUUUUAGCAUGGUUAAUUUCAUGUUUAUUUAGUCUUUGAAUAGUUAUGAAAUUGAGAAUUUGCCCAUUGGUUGUUGAUUUAACUCCUUAUUGUUUUAAAAAUAAGUAUAACACUCAAGACUACCAUUUAUUUAUAUCUAAUUAUGAAUUAGAUUUUCUCUUUUUUGAAUUUUUUUAAUUCAUGCUGAUUGGCUUCAAAAAUGGUAACAUAAGGUUGAUGUUAGAUCAGAGAUCUUGUCUAGC
This 452-nucleotide long non-coding RNA is filed under the name Phoenix dactylifera (date palm). Its description in RNAcentral is "long non-coding RNA (PDAC_LNC006516)". Lineage: Eukaryota; Viridiplantae; Streptophyta; Magnoliopsida; Arecales; Arecaceae. The record is from RNAcentral.